This is a long non-coding RNA of Carassius carassius (crucian carp), 582 nucleotides long. RefSeq lists it as uncharacterized. The transcript is spliced from 2 exons. The record is from RefSeq and is a predicted model, not a curated record. NCBI's taxonomy places the organism in Eukaryota, Metazoa, Chordata, Actinopteri, Cypriniformes, Cyprinidae.
AAAACGAGAGACGGGGACAGCUAUGCCUUUGUCAGCUGAACUUGAUUGAUAUCACGGUGAACGUUACCUCAGCGCAGAUUAAUACUAUCGUGUUAUUGAAAGAAAUACCAUUCCUUCAUUGUAGCAAUAAGGAUAAAUUGGCAAUUAAAGAAUUAGGACAACCAAGACCAAAUUUAAACAUCAAACAGGUGUCUACAAAGGGCAGAACGUUGUAUAAACAAGGAUUUUCGAGGAUGUGGUAUGAGCGGAGAAAAAGGCUAAUAGGCUGCGAAGUAGCUGACGCUUUAUUCUGCUAAUUUACUGCUGCAUUUUGUUCCAUCGCGAGUGCGUGACGGACAUCGCAUGGACAACGACAGGUGUCACGAACAUGCAUCAUCUCUCGGAGAAGGUGAAAAAAACACUAAAGAGCAAAGAUGCAUAUGGAUAUUAGGGAGCAGUAUAAUAUAAGUGAGUAAUUUAAGUAAGCAGUGUAAUGUAAGUGAGGAAUGUGAUAUAAAUGAGCACAGUAAUAUAAGCGAGUUGUGUAAACAGUGAUUUAUGUGACUUCAAUUAUUUCUUAUUAAACUGAAAUCGAAGUAAAAA